This is a small nuclear RNA of Pan paniscus (pygmy chimpanzee), 59 nucleotides long. NCBI's taxonomy places the organism in Eukaryota, Metazoa, Chordata, Mammalia, Primates, Hominidae. The record is from Ensembl.
CAUUAGCAUGGCCCAUGUGCAAGGAUGACACACAAAUUCAUGAAGCGUUCCAUGUUUUA